GAUGAACGCUGGCGGCGUGCCUAAUACAUGCAAGUCGAACGCGCAGCGAAGGGUGCUUGCACCUUUCAAGCGAGUGGCGAACGGGUGAGUAACACGUGGAUAACCUGCCUCAAGGCUGGAGAUAACAUUUGGAAACAGAUGCUAAUACCGAAUAAAACUUAGUAUCGCAUGAUACAAAGUUAAAAGGCGCUACGGCGUCACCUAGAGAUGGAUCCGCGGUGCAUUAGUUAGUUGGUGGGGUAAAGGCUUACCAAGACGAUGAUGCAUAGCCGAGUUGAGAGACUGAUCGGCCACAUUGGGACUGAGACACGGCCCAAACUCCUACGGGAGGCUGCAGUAGGGAAUCUUCCACAAUGGGCGCAAGCCUGAUGGAGCAACGCCGCGUGUGUGAUGAAGGCUUUCGGGUCGUAAAGCACUGUUGUAUGGGAAGAAAUGCUAAAAUAGGGAAUGAUUUUAGUUUGACGGUACCAUACCAGAAAGGGACGGCUAAAUACGUGCCAGCCGCCGCCGUAA
RNAcentral lists this ribosomal RNA (513 nucleotides) under uncultured bacterium. RNAcentral's name for it is "partial 16S ribosomal RNA". It matches the Rfam family "Bacterial small subunit ribosomal RNA", at positions 28 to 523 of the family's 1533-position model. The record is from RNAcentral.